Small nuclear RNA from Rhincodon typus (whale shark), 107 nucleotides. The record is from RefSeq and is a predicted model, not a curated record. NCBI's taxonomy places the organism in Eukaryota, Metazoa, Chordata, Chondrichthyes, Orectolobiformes, Rhincodontidae.
GUGCUUAUUUCAGCAGUGUAUUUACUAAAAUUGGAAUGAUACAGAGAAGAUUAGCAUGGCCCCUGUGGAAGAAUGUCAUGCAACUUUGUGAACUGUUCUACAUUUUA